UACCACAGCCAAAUUAUCCUGCAGCACAAGACUGGUGACUCACUGAAGCUAAGCAGAGCGGAGCCUGGUCAGUUCAUGGAUGGGAGACCACAUGGGAAAACUAGGUUGCUGUUGGAA
This 117-nucleotide ribosomal RNA is filed under the name Danio rerio (zebrafish). The record is from RNAcentral. Lineage: Eukaryota; Metazoa; Chordata; Actinopteri; Cypriniformes; Danionidae.